This 508-nucleotide ribosomal RNA is filed under the name uncultured bacterium. RNAcentral's name for it is "partial 16S ribosomal RNA". It matches the Rfam family "Bacterial small subunit ribosomal RNA", at positions 30 to 523 of the family's 1533-position model. The record is from RNAcentral.
AUUGAACGCUGGCGGCAUGCCUUACACAUGCAAGUCGAACGGCAGCGGGGGAGAAGCUUGCUUUUCCUGCCGGCGAGUGGCGAACGGGUGAGUAAUACAUCGGAACGUGCCCUGUAGUGGGGGAUAACUAGUCGAAAGAUUAGCUAAUACCGCAUACGACCUGAGGGUGAAAGUGGGGGACCGCAAGGCCUCAUGCUAUAGGAGCGGCCGAUGUCUGAUUAGCUAGUUGGUGGGGUAAAGGCCUACCAAGGCGACGAUCAGUAGCUGGUCUGAAAGGACGAUCAGCCACACUGGGACUGAGACACGGCCCAGACUCCUACGGGAGGCAGCAGUGGGGAAUUUUGGACAAUGGGCGAAAGCCUGAUCCAGCAAUGCCGCGUGUGUGAAGAAGGCCUUCGGGUUGUAAAGCACAUUUGUCCGGAAAGAAAUGGCUCUGGUUAAUACCUGGGGUCGAUGACGGUACCGGAAGAAUAAGGACCGGCUAACUACGUGCCAGCAGCCGCCGUAA